GAGAUGCUCUAGUUCUAACAGGUUGAGAUGGAUCAUCUAAAAUUAAUUCCUUAGGAUGCCUAUGAGCAUACCUCCAAGCCUUAGUCAGCUCAUGAUCCACAAUUGCCUCUUGGCUUGUUGAUGCAUCUCCAAUUAGCUUUGGUUCAUCUUCUUGUAAUGUCAUCUCAUCACUUUUUUCUUCAAGAAUUUCUGCAUCAUCAUCAAGAGCUACUUUCUUGCUAGAAGAGACAUCAUUAGUAUCAUCAAAAACAACAUGUAUAGACUCUUCAAUAACAAGGUUUCUUUUGUUAAAUACUCUAUAAGCUUUACUUGAUGUAGAAUAUCCCAAAAAGAUACCUUCAUCAGAUUUAGAGUCAAAUUUACCUAAGUUAUCCUU
This 376-nucleotide long non-coding RNA is filed under the name Phoenix dactylifera (date palm). RNAcentral's name for it is "long non-coding RNA (PDAC_LNC022716)". The record is from RNAcentral. Lineage: Eukaryota; Viridiplantae; Streptophyta; Magnoliopsida; Arecales; Arecaceae.